CUUGGUGUCCUGAACGUCUUGAGAUGAACGCCCGAUUCCUCAUCGUUGCCGCAGGCCUCGUGGCCCUGGUGCUCUUGGCCCAGACGAUGCCAACUGAAGCUCAGAUUACGUUCAGCAAGAGUUGGCAAGCCGGCAAACGCGCUCUCGACGAUUGUGCCCAACGAGACCUCCAGGUCAUCAACCGUAUCAAGCAGAUGAUAGUGAAGGAAGCCAUGAACUUGAUCCAGUGUCGAGGAGAGCCGCUUGUCGAGUAGGAGCCGCAGCAGGAGAGGCAGCUUGGGAACGUUAGGAUGCAGACGCAGCAGGUUCCUGGAGGAGCUGCCAGCGUAGUUCCUUCAUUGGAAGGAAGGACUCUCGACAAAAAUUAGAAUCGAGCCUCAUCUUUCUCUGACGUUUGAGGAGUCAUAUAUUGAAAGUCCCGGAGCGGUGGCCACGUGCUGAGUCGACUCAAUAAAACAUUCGUCA
Molecule: long non-coding RNA, 465 nt
Organism: Galendromus occidentalis (western predatory mite)
Lineage: Eukaryota; Metazoa; Arthropoda; Arachnida; Mesostigmata; Phytoseiidae
Exons: 2
Source: RefSeq, a predicted model, not a curated record